This 579-nucleotide long non-coding RNA is filed under the name Homo sapiens (human). RNAcentral's name for it is "HSALNT0334339". The record is from RNAcentral. Lineage: Eukaryota; Metazoa; Chordata; Mammalia; Primates; Hominidae.
UCAUCUGCCUCCUUCUGUGCCUGCCUGGCUGCCCCUACCCUGGGGCUCCCUCCUAGCCCCCACCUCACCUACUGGCUCACUGAGACAGAGCCAAACAUGAAAGGGAAGGUGACGGCCUGGCCAUAGGGCCCAGGAAAAUGCAGAUGCUGACGAUACGACAGUGAAUACAACAUGAAAAAACAAGCACACUUCUCACCCCUAUGGAGCUUUAUUCUGGUCAGGCAGAAGGAGAAGGAAAUGUAAACAUGCAAGGUCAGGUACUGCUGUGAAGCAAAAUAAAGCUGUGGGUACUGUGCGAAGGAUAGGCUGUGUGUGUGUGUGUCUGUGUGCGUGUGUGUGUGUGUGUUGUGCAUAUUAAGUCAAAAAAUGAAUCUGGAUGAUCCUGGGCCAGGUCUGACCCCAGCAUUGCCACUGACUGUAUAAUCUCAAGCAAGUCAUGCCUCCCCUCUGGGCCUCACUUUCCUCAUCUGUAAAGUGAGACCGUGGACUGAAAGGCCAUUGUGAUCUGGCCUCAGUCUUGACCCUCCAGGAUCUAACACAUUUUGCCUCUGUGAAUUUAAUGGGGGGAAUUAUAGGCAG